RNAcentral lists this ribosomal RNA (463 nucleotides) under uncultured Sphingobacteriaceae bacterium. RNAcentral's name for it is "bacterial SSU rRNA". It matches the Rfam family "Bacterial small subunit ribosomal RNA", at positions 320 to 784 of the family's 1533-position model. Lineage: Bacteria; Pseudomonadati; Bacteroidota; Sphingobacteriia; Sphingobacteriales; Sphingobacteriaceae. The record is from RNAcentral.
GGGGGCACGGGGGGCCUACGGGAGGCAGCAGUAAGGAAUAUGGGUCAAUGGGGGCAAGCUUGAACCAGCCAUAACGCGUGCAGGAAGACGGCCCUACGGGUUGUAAACUGCUUUUGUACCGGAAUAAACCCCGAUUCGUGAAUCGGGCUGAAUGUACGGUAAGAAUAAGGAUCGGCUAACUCCGUGCCAGCAGCCGCGGUAAUACGGAGGAUCCAAGCGUUAUCCGGAUUUAUUGGGUUUAAAGGGUGCGUAGGCGGCUUAUUAAGUCAGGGGUGAAAGACGGUGGCUCAACCAUCGCAGUGCCUUUGAUACUGAUGAGCUUGAAUGAACCUGAGGUAGGCGGAAUGUGACAAGUAGCGGUGAAAUGCAUAGAUAUGUCACAGAACACCAAUUGCGAAGGCAGCUUACUAAAGUUUAAUUGACGCUGAGGCACGAAAGCGUGGGGAUCAAACAGGAUUAGAUA